UACGUAGGGGGCAAGCGUUGUCCGGAUUUAUUGGGCGUAAAGCGCUCGCAGGUGGUUCGUCGCGUCGUGCGUGAAAGACCCCGGCUCAACUGGGGGAGGUCGUGCGAUACGGGCGGGCUGGAGGGGGGUAGGGGCAGGCGGAACUGUGGGUGGAGCGGUGAAAUGCGUUGAGAUCCACAGGAACUCCGGUGGCGAAGGCGGCCUGCUGGACCCCAUCUGACGCUGAGGCGCGAAAGCCAGGGGAGCGAACGGG
RNAcentral lists this ribosomal RNA (253 nucleotides) under uncultured bacterium. RNAcentral describes it as "partial 16S ribosomal RNA". It matches the Rfam family "Bacterial small subunit ribosomal RNA", at positions 524 to 776 of the family's 1533-position model. The record is from RNAcentral.